CCGUAUGUUGUCAUGUUGAUGCAUAUUUUCAUGACCAAAGGCUUCGGCCGGUAAAGGAUGGGGAUGCGUCUGAUUAGCUUGCCGGCGGGGUAACGGCCCACCGGGGCGACGAUCAGUAGGGGUUCUGAGAGGAAGGUCCCCCACAUUGGAACUGAGACACGGUCCAAACUCCUACGGGAGGCAGCAGUGAGGAAUAUUGGUCAAUGGGCGCGAGCCUGAACCAGCCAAGUAGCGUGCAGGACGACGGCCCUAUGGGUUGUAAACUGCUUUUAUACGGGGAUAAAGUAUGCCACGUGUGGUUUAUUGCAGGUACCGUAUGAAUAAGGACCGGCUAAUUCCGUGCCAGCAGCCGCGGUAAUACGGAAGGUCCGGGCGUUAUCCGGAUUUAUUGGGUUUAAAGGGAGCGUAGGCCGGGUUUUAAGCGUGCCGUGAAAUGUCGGGGCUCAACCUUGACACUGCGGCGCGAACUGGAGUCCUUGAGUGCGCGGAACGUAUGCGGAAUUCGUGGUGUAGCGGUGAAAUGCUUAGAUAUCACGAAGAACCCCGAUUGCGAAGGCAGCAUACGGCAGCGCUACUGACGCUGAAGCUCGAAGGCGCGGGUAUCGAACAGGAUUAGAUACCCUGGUAGUCCGCGCGGUAAACGAU
This 645-nucleotide ribosomal RNA is filed under the name uncultured bacterium. RNAcentral's name for it is "bacterial SSU rRNA". It matches the Rfam family "Bacterial small subunit ribosomal RNA", at positions 169 to 810 of the family's 1533-position model. The record is from RNAcentral.